UACGGAGGGCGCGAGCGUUAAUCGGAAUUACUGGGCGUAAAGCGCGCGUAGGCUGUUGUGUAAGUUGGGGGUGAAAUCCCACGGCUCAACCGUGGAACAGCCCUUGAUACUGCGCGACUUGAAUCCGGGAGUGGGUGGCGGAAUUCCAGGUGUAGGAGUGAAAUCCGUAGAUAUCUGGAGGAACAUCAGUGGCGAAGGCGGCCACCUGGACCGGUAUUGACGCUGAGGCGCGAAAGCGUGGGGAGCAAACAGG
This 253-nucleotide ribosomal RNA is filed under the name uncultured bacterium. Its description in RNAcentral is "partial 16S ribosomal RNA". It matches the Rfam family "Bacterial small subunit ribosomal RNA", at positions 524 to 776 of the family's 1533-position model. The record is from RNAcentral.